This 1220-nucleotide long non-coding RNA is filed under the name Monodelphis domestica (gray short-tailed opossum). Its description in RNAcentral is "lncRNA (ENSMODG00000043817.1)". Lineage: Eukaryota; Metazoa; Chordata; Mammalia; Didelphimorphia; Didelphidae. The record is from RNAcentral.
GUAUUUUAAUUUUCUCCAGUGGGGCUGUACCUCUUGAAAUGACUUUCUUUCUUUGUUCAAAGGUAUGUCUGUAGGAAUUGCCCUGGGGAAGAGGCCUUAGAAGUUAGUCCUUGAGGAUGCUUUCCUUUGAACGCUCUUGAUUUCUGUCAUGGUGAUAGAGUGGAAAGAGCACUAGAGAUGGAGCCUGAUGGCUGGAUACAACACUCCUCUCUAAUACUAAACUAGCUCUCUGACCGUAGGCAGAUCCCAGUGUCUCUCUAGAAAAGAGUCAUCAGUGUUGCAAACUGUGGAAUACAGCAAACAUUUAUGAAGCACCCAUCAAGUUCAAGGCACUCUCGUGGGGACUGAGACUACCAACGCUUCAGUGGAUCUGGGAUAUUCAUUUUCCGUUCUUUGGAGACUAGUAUUCUCUGAUGCAGAGCCGCAAAGCAACAACAGUAGAGUGCUGGUGACAUUGUGCUGGUUGUACAAAACUCUGGAACAACCCAGUGCCUCUUUGAUGAGAUCCCAAACUGGGAAUACAAAAAUGCAAAAAGACAUUACCUAUUUCUUCCAGGUGUUUGCAAUAUAGUUAGGGGGAUGAGACAAUGCAAAGAAAUAUGAUGUGCAGAGGAACAAGAUUGGGACAAAAGAGAGGUUUAUUUAUUUAUUUUUAAAAAAACUUAUUUUUUUUAGAGUUUUUAGAGUAACAACUCUCAGACAGAAGGGCAAGAGCUAGGCAAAUGAGGUUAAGUGACUUGCCCAGGAUCACCCAGCCAGGAAGUAUCUGAGGACAGACUUGAAAUCAAAGCCUCACUCUCUAGCCACCUCAUUGCCCCAAACUACGUAUAAAAGUAAUUGAGCUUAGAUAGAGGGUUUUGAAAAAUCUGAUGGAGAGAUGGACUUUUAACUAUCAGGGAUGAAGAAAAGGAGGAUAAGUAGAACAGGCUUCCUGGAGGUUGCAAGCAUCCAUUCUGGGUCUUGUUAAUGAAUAGUUUUUUAGCAGUUGGAGAUGUAGAGGAGCAUAUUUUCCAUAUCGUAGGAGAACAGAGUCCUCUGUGUUUAAACUAAAACUCAUUUAUUAUUUCGGGUUUCAUUUAAAUACCCAAAGUAGAGGAACACUUUUUUUGUUGUUAUAUAUGUAUUAUCAUGCAAAACAUUUCCAUAUUGUUCAUUUUUGUAAGUGAAUAAUCAUAUAAAACCCAAACCUAAAUAAACAAGUGAAAAAUCCUAUGCUUUCA